This 441-nucleotide ribosomal RNA is filed under the name uncultured bacterium. RNAcentral's name for it is "bacterial SSU rRNA". It matches the Rfam family "Bacterial small subunit ribosomal RNA", at positions 8 to 481 of the family's 1533-position model. The record is from RNAcentral.
AGAGUUUGAUCCUGGCUCAGAAUCAACGCUGGCGGCGUGCCUAACACACGCAAGUCGAACGAGAAAGUGGAGCAAUCCAUGAGUAAAGUGGCGCACGGGUGAGUAACACGUGACUAACCUACCCUUGAGUGGGGGAUAACCUAGGGAAACCUGGGCUAAUACCGCAUAAUACCUUCGGGUCAAAGGAGCAAUUCGCUUAAGGAGGGGGUCGCGGCCGAUUAGUUAGUUGGCGGGGUAAUGGCCCACCAAGACGAUGAUCGGUAUCCGGCCUGAGAGGGCGCACGGACACACUGGAACUGAAACACGGUCCAGACUCCUACGGGAGGCAGCAGUGGGGAAUUUUGCGCAAUGGGGGAAACCCUGACGCAGCAACGCCGCGUGGAGGAUGAAGCCCCUUGGGGCGUAAACUCCUUUCGAUCGGGACGAUUAUGACGGUACCGG